AGACGGGUGAGUAACGCGUGGGAACAUACCUUUUGGUUCGGAACAACACAGGGAAACUUGUGCUAAUACCGGAUAAGCCCUUACGGGGAAAGAUUUAUCGCCGAAAGAUUGGCCCGCGUCUGAUUAGCUAGUUGGUGAGGUAACGGCUCACCAAGGCGACGAUCAGUAGCCGGUCUGGGAGGAUGAUCAGCCACAUUGGGACUGAGACACGGCCCAAACUCCUACGGGAGGCAGCAGUGGGGAAUAUUGGACAAUGGGCGCAAGCCUGAUCCAGCCAUGCCGCGUGAGUGAUGAAGGCCCUAGGGUUGUAAAGCUCUUUUGUGCGGGAAGGUAAUGACGGUACCGCAAGAAUAAGCCCCGGCUAACUUCGUGCCAGCAGCCGCGGUAAUACGAAGGGGGCUAGCGUUGCUCGGAAUCACUGGGCGUAAAGGGUGCGUAGGCGGGUCUUUAAGUCAGGGGUGAAAUCCUGGAGCUCAACUCCAGAACUGCCUUUGAUACUGAGGAUCUUGAGUUCGGGAGAGGUGAGUGGAACCGCGAGUGUAGAGGUGGAAAUUCGUAGAUUUCGCAAAGAACACCA
This 577-nucleotide ribosomal RNA is filed under the name uncultured bacterium. RNAcentral describes it as "bacterial SSU rRNA". It matches the Rfam family "Bacterial small subunit ribosomal RNA", at positions 100 to 711 of the family's 1533-position model. The record is from RNAcentral.